Molecule: ribosomal RNA, 207 nt
Filed under: uncultured bacterium
Lineage: Bacteria
Description: partial 16S ribosomal RNA
Rfam family: Bacterial small subunit ribosomal RNA
Source: RNAcentral
CUCGUAGGCGGUUCGUCGCGUCCGGUGUGAAAGUCCAUCGCUUAACGGUGGAUCUGCGCCGGGUACGGGCGGGCUGGAGUGCGGUAGGGGAGACUGGAAUUCCCGGUGUAACGGUGGAAUGUGUAGAUAUCGGGAAGAACACCAAUGGCUAAGGCAGGUCUCUGGGCCGUUACUGACGCUGAGGAGCGAAAGCGUGGGGAGCGAACA